AAGUCGUAACAAGGUCUCCGUUGGUGAACCAGCGGAGGGAUCAUUAUUGAGUUUCUAUCUCUUCUACCCUUUGUGAACCUUACCUUUUGCCUUCCCUAUACCCUAGGGGAAGCUGUUUUUUUUUGUCUACCUAACAUAACUCUUACUAGAUGUUUUUAAACUUGCUGAGUUAAGCAUAUUGUAAAAUGAAAUCAAAACUUUCAACAACGGAUCUCUUGGUUCUG
RNAcentral lists this unclassified non-coding RNA (224 nucleotides) under fungal sp. RNAcentral's name for it is "partial internal transcribed spacer region". The stretch from base 1 to 46 matches the Rfam family "Eukaryotic small subunit ribosomal RNA", at positions 1786 to 1831 of the family's 1831-position model. Lineage: Eukaryota; Fungi. The record is from RNAcentral. RNAcentral also lists the same sequence under 1 other name.